RNAcentral lists this ribosomal RNA (248 nucleotides) under uncultured bacterium. RNAcentral's name for it is "partial 16S ribosomal RNA". It matches the Rfam family "Bacterial small subunit ribosomal RNA", at positions 355 to 594 of the family's 1533-position model. The record is from RNAcentral.
UCGAGAAUCAUUCGCAAUGGGCGCAAGCCUGACGGUGCGACGUCGCGUGGAGGAUGAAGGUCUUCGGAUUGUAAACUCCUGUCAUGUGGGAUAAAUGGCCAGGGCAUGAAUAGUGCCUUGGAAUGAUAGUACCACAGGAGGAAGGGACGGCUAACUCUGUGCCAGCAGCCGCGGUAAUUCAGAGGUCCCGAGCGUUGUUCGGAUUUACUGGGCGUAAAGGGAGCGUAGGCGGUUUGGUGUGUCGAAUG